CGAAAGCCUGACGCAGCGACGCCGCGUGGGGAAGAAGGCCUCGGUUGUAAACCUCUUCAGCAGGGACGAAGCCACUCGGGUGAACAGCCCAGAGGGUGACGGUACCUGCAGAAGAAGCCCCGGCUAACUACGUGCCAGCAGCCGCGGUAAUACGUAGGGGGCAAGCGUUGUCCGGAUUUAUUGGGCGUAAAGAGCGUGUAGGCGGCCAGACAGGUCCGUUGUGAAAACUAGAGGCUCAACCUCUAGACGUCGAUGGAAACCGUUUGGCUAGAGUCCGGAAGAGGAGAAUGGAAUUCCUGGUGUAGCGGUGAAAUGCGCAGAUAUCAGGAAGAACACCCGUGGCUAAGGCGGUUCUCUAGUACGGUACUGACGCUGAGACGCGAAAGCGUGGGGAGCGAACAGGAUUAGAUACCCUGGUAGUCCACGCCGUAAACGAUGGGUGCUAGGUGUGGGGGGUGGUCGACUCCCUCCCGUGCCGAAGCUAACGCAUUAAGCACCCCGCCUGGGGAGUACGGCCGCAAGGCUAA
RNAcentral lists this ribosomal RNA (527 nucleotides) under uncultured Actinomycetes bacterium. RNAcentral's name for it is "bacterial SSU rRNA". It matches the Rfam family "Bacterial small subunit ribosomal RNA", at positions 376 to 897 of the family's 1533-position model. The record is from RNAcentral. Lineage: Bacteria; Bacillati; Actinomycetota; Actinomycetes.